AACAAACGCUGGCGGCGUGCCUAACACAUGCAAGUCGUACGAGAAAGGGUCCUUCGGGAUCUGAGUAAAGUGGCGCACGGGUGAGUAACGCGUGGAUAAUCUACCCCUCAGCUGGGAAUAACUCAUCGAAAGGUGGGCUAAUACCGAAUAACACUGCGAGACUAUGGUCAAACAGUCAAAGGGCGCCUCUGCUUGCAAGCGCUCGCUGAAGGAUGAGUCCGCGUACCAUUAGCUAGUUGGUAGGGUAAUGGCCUACCAAGGCGACGAUGGUUAGCUGGUCUGAGAGGAUGAUCAGCCACACUGGAACUGAGACACGGUCCAGACUCCUACGGGAGGCUG
This 339-nucleotide ribosomal RNA is filed under the name uncultured Pseudomonadota bacterium. Its description in RNAcentral is "bacterial SSU rRNA". It matches the Rfam family "Bacterial small subunit ribosomal RNA", at positions 29 to 351 of the family's 1533-position model. The record is from RNAcentral. Lineage: Bacteria; Pseudomonadati; Pseudomonadota.